This 1506-nucleotide ribosomal RNA is filed under the name metagenome. RNAcentral's name for it is "bacterial SSU rRNA". It matches the Rfam family "Bacterial small subunit ribosomal RNA". The record is from RNAcentral.
AGAGUUUGAUCCUGGCUCAGGACGAACGCUGGCGGCGUGCCUAAUACAUGCAAGUAGAACGCUGAAGAGAGGAGCUUGCUCUUCUUGGAUGAGUUGCGAACGGGUGAGUAACGCGUAGGUAACCUGCCUUGUAGCGGGGGAUAACUAUUGGAAACGAUAGCUAAUACCGCAUAACAAUGGAUGACCCAUGUCAUUUAUUUGAAAGGGGCAAAUGCUCCACUACAAGAUGGACCUGCGUUGUAUUAGCUAGUAGGUGAGGUAACGGCUCACCUAGGCGACGAUACAUAGCCGACCUGAGAGGGUGAUCGGCCACACUGGGACUGAGACACGGCCCAGACUCCUACGGGAGGCAGCAGUAGGGAAUCUUCGGCAAUGGGGGCAACCCUGACCGAGCAACGCCGCGUGAGUGAAGAAGGUUUUCGGAUCGUAAAGCUCUGUUGUAAGUCAAGAACGAGUGUGAGAGUGGAAAGUUCACACUGUGACGGUAGCUUACCAGAAAGGGACGGCUAACUACGUGCCAGCAGCCGCGGUAAUACGUAGGUCCCGAGCGUUGUCCGGAUUUAUUGGGCGUAAAGCGAGCGCAGGCGGUUUGAUAAGUCUGAAGUUAAAGGCUGUGGCUCAACCAUAGUUCGCUUUGGAAACUGUCAAACUUGAGUGCAGAAGGGGAGAGUGGAAUUCCAUGUGUAGCGGUGAAAUGCGUAGAUAUAUGGAGGAACACCGGUGGCGAAAGCGGCUCUCUGGUCUGUAACUGACGCUGAGGCUCGAAAGCGUGGGGAGCGAACAGGAUUAGAUACCCUGGUAGUCCACGCCGUAAACGAUGAGUGCUAGGUGUUGGAUCCUUUCCGGGAUUCAGUGCCGCAGCUAACGCAUUAAGCACUCCGCCUGGGGAGUACGACCGCAAGGUUGAAACUCAAAGGAAUUGACGGGGGCCCGCACAAGCGGUGGAGCAUGUGGUUUAAUUCGAAGCAACGUGAAGAACCUUACCAGGUCUUGACAUCCCGAUGCUAUUUCUAGAGAUAGAAAGUUACUUCGGUACAUCGGUGACAGGUGGUGCAUGGUUGUCGUCAGCUCGUGUCGUGAGAUGUUGGGUUAAGUCCCGCAACGAGCGCAACCCCUAUUGUUAGUUGCCAUCAUUCAGUUGGGCACUCUAGCGAGACUGCCGGUAAUAAACCGGAGGAAGGUGGGGAUGACGUCAAAUCAUCAUGCCCCUUAUGACCUGGGCUACACACGUGCUACAAUGGUUGGUACAACGAGUUGCGAGUCGGUGACGGCAAGCUAAUCUCUUAAAGCCAAUCUCAGUUCGGAUUGUAGGCUGCAACUCGCCUACAUGAAGUCGGAAUCGCUAGUAAUCGCGGAUCAGCACGCCGCGGUGAAUACGUUCCCGGGCCUUGUACACACCGCCCGUCACACCACGAGAGUUUGUAACACCCGAAGUCGGUGAGGUAACCUUUCGGAGCCAGCCGCCUAAGGUGGGAUAGAUGAUUGGGGCGAAGUCGUAACAAGGUA